Long non-coding RNA from Panicum virgatum (switchgrass), 333 nucleotides. RefSeq lists it as uncharacterized. The record is from RefSeq and is a predicted model, not a curated record. The transcript has 2 exons. NCBI's taxonomy places the organism in Eukaryota, Viridiplantae, Streptophyta, Magnoliopsida, Poales, Poaceae.
CUGAAGUUCUGUGCAGACCGAAAGAAAGCAAAGCUGAAGAUUGGUACCCUUGCUAUAUGGGAAGCAUUUUUUGAGGCCAAUGUAACGAACAAUGACAACAAGACUGUGACAUCACCAAUGAAUGGAAUUUUGGAGAGAGUAGGACAGAAGGAAGGAGGUCCAUCAAUGACAGUGGAUCAGAUAAUAAGUGUAUUGAAUGAUCUGAAGUGCAUUUCUACCACUAGGGACCCAGAACAAUUCACUUUCGGUAAGACUUGUAUUUAACUAUUUGUUGUACAUGAACUGGAGACUGGACUGUUGUAUCACUGUAUACAUGAAUUGUCUGGUUCUCUG